RNAcentral lists this unclassified non-coding RNA (341 nucleotides) under soil metagenome. RNAcentral describes it as "partial contains 5.8S ribosomal RNA, internal transcribed spacer 2, and large subunit ribosomal RNA". The stretch from base 1 to 120 matches the Rfam family "5.8S ribosomal RNA", at positions 35 to 154 of the family's 154-position model. The record is from RNAcentral.
GAUGAAGAACGCAGCGAAAUGCAAUAAGUAGUGUGAAUUGCAGAAUUCAGUGAAUCAUCGAAUCUUUGAACGCACAUUGCGCCCUUUGGUAUUCCAAAGGGCAUGCCUGUUCGAGCGUCAUUUGUACCCUCAAGCUUUGCUUGGUGUUGGGCGUCUUGUCUCUAGCUUUGCUGGAGACUCGCCUUAAAGUAAUUGGCAGCCGGCCUACUGGUUUCGGAGCGCAGCACAAGUCGCACUCUCUAUCAGCAAAGGUCUAGCAUCCAUUAAGCCUUUUUUUCAACUUUUGACCUCGGAUCAGGUAGGGAUACCCGCUGAACUUAAGCAUAUCAAUAAGCGGAGGA